GACGAACCGUCCAAACGUUAUUCGGUAUCACUGGGCUUAAAGAGUUCGUAGGCGGCUAAACAGGUGAGGUGUGAAAGCCCUCGGCUCAACCGAGGAACUGCGCUUCAAACCGUUUAGCUAGAGGAAGACAGAGGUGAGCGGAACUGAUGGUGGAGCGGUGAAAUGCGUUGAUAUCAUCAGGAACACCGGUGGCGAAAGCGGCUCACUGGGUCUUUUCUGACGCUGAGGAACGAAAGCUAGGGGAGCGAACGGGAUUAGAUACCCCGGUAGUCCUAGCCGUAAACGAUGAGCACUAGACUGUGGGGACCCUCACAUCCUCUCGGUCGUAGCGAAAGUGUUAAGUGCUCCGCCUGGGGAGUAUGGUCGCAAGGCUGAA
Molecule: ribosomal RNA, 376 nt
Filed under: uncultured bacterium
Lineage: Bacteria
Description: bacterial SSU rRNA
Rfam family: Bacterial small subunit ribosomal RNA
Source: RNAcentral